GAUGAACGCUGGCGGCGUGCCUAAUACAUGCAAGUCGAACGCUGGAACUCUAGCUUGCUAGAUUGAAGGAGUGGCGAACGGGUGAGUAAUACAUAAGCAACCUACCCACGAAGACUGGGAUAAUCUCUGGAAACGGGGACUAAUACCGGAUAGGUAAUCGGAAGGCAUCUUCUGAUUAUUAAAGGUUAAAAACACUGGUGGAUGGGCUUAUGGCGCAUUAGUUAGUUGGUGAGGUAACGGCCCACCAAGACGAUGAUGCGUAGCCGGCCUGAGAGGGUGAACGGCCACAUUGGGACUGAGACACGGCCCAGACUCCUACGGGAGGCAGCAGUAGGGAAUUUUCGGCAAUGGGGGAAACCCUGACCGAGCAACGCCGCGUGAGUGAUGACGGCCUUCGGGGUGUAAAGCUCUGUUGUAAGGGAAGAACGGUAGAUAGAGAAUAUCUAAAUGACGGUACCUUACCAGAAAGCCACGGCUAACUACGUG
RNAcentral lists this ribosomal RNA (486 nucleotides) under uncultured bacterium. RNAcentral's name for it is "partial 16S ribosomal RNA". It matches the Rfam family "Bacterial small subunit ribosomal RNA", at positions 28 to 507 of the family's 1533-position model. The record is from RNAcentral.